AUUGAACGCUGGCGGCAGGCCUAACACAUGCAAGUCGAGCGGAUGAAUGGAGCUUUCUCUUCGCUUCCGCGGCCGACGGGCGAGUAAUUCCUACGUAUCUGCCUUGUCGUGGAGGAUAACGUACGGUCAGGAGCGCUAAGAUCGCAUCCGUCCUUAGGUUGAACGGGGGGGAUCUUCAGACAAAGCGCUAUUAGCUGUGACUUGGUCGGAUUAGCUAGUUGGUUGGGUAAAGGCCUACCAAGGCGACGAUCCGUAACUGGUCUGAGAGGCUGAUCAGUCACACUGGAACUGAGACACGGUCCAGACUCCUACGGGAGGCAGCAGUGGGGAAUAUUGGACAAAGGGCGAAAGCCUGAUGGAGCCAUGCCGCGUGUGUGAAGAAGGUCUUCGGAUUGUAAAGCUCUGUUAGUUGGGAGGAAGGACAGUAAGUGAAUCUCUUGCCGUCUUGACGUUACCAACACAGAAAGCCCCGGCUAACUUCGUG
RNAcentral lists this ribosomal RNA (484 nucleotides) under uncultured bacterium. Its description in RNAcentral is "partial 16S ribosomal RNA". It matches the Rfam family "Bacterial small subunit ribosomal RNA", at positions 30 to 507 of the family's 1533-position model. The record is from RNAcentral.